UCCUGAGGUCCCCUGGGGACAAAUCUUCCCCAGACUCCAGAGUCUGUCCCAUCUGAUGGCAGAGUGCGUGCUGCCAUGCCCAGCUGAGUGUUCUGUUUCCAUGCACAGCCCAGGUAGAGCUGCACACUGUUCAAAUCUGCUUUGCCUUCAUUAAUCUUUUCCAGCAGCAGACAAACUACCAAGCAGCAGAAAACUGCCACAUCAAAGUUCUCUUCCAGUUUCUCUGGACACCAUCACUCAAAAUGGGUCCAGAAAGAUGGAACCAGAAGCAGCAGCCUCCAGCUCUGUCUUUUCCUGCAGUUCAUGGGGACAGGAGGCAACACAAGACAGAAACCACCACAUGAUCCAAAUCCAAAGAAGAAUUUGCAUUACUAACUGCUCUGUAGAGAUGGAAGACUCAGUGAAAUCAGCAGGAUCUCAGCACCCAAGUGGAAGCCAGCACAGUCUUGCUCCUUCUGUACCAGUUCAUGGAAGCCUUAUGUUCUUCCACUUGGGCUUUUAUGAAUCCUGAUUCAGAGACUAUUCAUGUGGAUACCGAGUUUUAAACCUCAGCUGUACUGACCCCACUGCAGGCUGGCAGAGUCCAGUUCUGUAUAACAACUGCAUCCCAGAGUCACAGGACAGCUGAGGCUGGAAGGGUUAUCAGUCCAACACUCCUGCUCAACCCGGGCUACAAACAGUCCUUCUGUCUUCACUGAGAGCCCUUCCCAGGUAUGAAGCUGACUAGUCAGACAUACCUUUCCAUGUAAGAGCCUCCAGCAGAUCCUAAGGGAGGAUUUCUGCUCUUACUGUAAGAUGUUUAAUUUAGAACGGACAAAUAGUCUCGACUGUGGGAGUUUUUCAGUGAGUCACCACCCAAGAAUGACUGCAGGCAUCUCUCCAGUGGAAUGGAUAUGUCAGCACUGCUGCAUUGCACUGAGCUCUACCAGCAGACAGACACCUUCUGAAGCAAGACCAGUGUGAGGAUGUCAAUCCUACCUGACUCUAAAUAAUAAGCAUUGGUGACAAAGAUUGGAAAUUAGAGGUACCUGACUUUUGGAGUGGAAUUCACCUCCAGAUUCAUUGGCAGAAGUUUAGUUCUCCACAUGUGCACUAGUACUGCACUCACCUAGCAGUCCGCUCCAGGAGUUGAUUUUUUUGAGCCAAUGUAACUGUGCCAUGUUUGAUGUGCUCCAGGACACCCAGGAGAUCUGCACAGGGCUGGAUGACAUGACACUGCACCCAUGAGAUGUCCAGUUCCUCCAGGAGCAGUGUCAGGGGUCAAGCAUGAUCUCCAAGGCUGAUAUCCCCGAGCACCAUGGACCACACUGAUGGAUGCUGUUCUGAUCCAGUCCCCUCACACAGGCACCUGGUUCCUGUGUCCAGCUGCAGUUCCAGAAGUCUGCAGGUUUCCUUUGGGUCCUACACCAUAUCUGCCACCCCCUGCAGGUGUUGUCAAAUGCAGCACAGCGUCUCAGAUGGCACUUGGUGCAGGUUUGGGGACAAAUGACAUCCCUUUAUGUCACUGGAGA
RNAcentral lists this long non-coding RNA (1511 nucleotides) under Junco hyemalis (dark-eyed junco). Its description in RNAcentral is "lncRNA (ENSJHYG00000008682.1)". The record is from RNAcentral. Lineage: Eukaryota; Metazoa; Chordata; Aves; Passeriformes; Passerellidae.